UACGUAGGGUGCGAGCGUUAAUCGGAAUUACUGGGCGUAAAGUGUGCGCAGGCGGCAGAGCAAGUCGAGUGUGAAAUCCCCGAGCUUAACUUGGGAAUUGCGCUCGAAACUACGUGGCUGGAGUGUGGCAGAGGAAGGUGGAAUUCCACGUGUAGCGGUGAAAUGCGUAGAUAUGUGGAGGAACACCGAUGGCGAAGGCAGCCUUCUGGGCCAACACUGACGCUCAUGCACGAAAGCGUGGGGAGCAAACAGG
RNAcentral lists this ribosomal RNA (253 nucleotides) under uncultured bacterium. Its description in RNAcentral is "partial 16S ribosomal RNA". It matches the Rfam family "Bacterial small subunit ribosomal RNA", at positions 524 to 776 of the family's 1533-position model. The record is from RNAcentral.